UUAUUAUUAUUUUUAUAUUUAUUUUCUUAUUACUAACUUUUUAAAUUUUAUUUUCUUAUUACUAUUUUUUUAUUUUUAUUUUCUUAUUAUUAUUUUUUUAUUUAUUCUCUUAUUAUUAAUUUUUUAUUAUAAUUUUUUUAUUUUGUUAUUACUAUUAUUUUUAUUUAUUUUCUUACUACAAUUUUUUAUUAAUAUAUAAUUUUAUUUUUAUUUUAUUUUUUAUUUUCUUAUUAUUUUUUUAUUGUUAUUUUUUAUUUUAUUUCCUUGUUACUAAUUUUUUAUUAUAUAUUUUUUUUUAUUUUCUUAUUAUUAUUUUUUUAUUGUUAUUUCUUUAUUUCUUAUUAUUAUUUUUUUAUUUAUUCUCUUGAUUGGUUUAAGGGUGACCCCGCAUCGGAGUGCCACAUAGACCGCAAGUUGGGUCCGUUGUGUUGCCUUAGAGCUCAAUAUGUGAUAUGAUUUCCCCACCUAACCGAGAUUUUGGUCAAAGAUGUUAAUUCGUUUCGAGAAUUUGAUGAGAGAUUCGAUUUCCAGGUUCGAGAGUACUGAAAGAUUGUCAAUUGUUGGAGAGCCAAGAAGAGCGAGUCGACUUCUGGCUAGACCGGGACAACUGCACAGCAAAUGUCUGCACAGGUCGUUUUGAGGAACCCCGAGCCGACGUGCGUGAGUGCCCAAAAGGCAGUGUCCGAUUGUAGGAUGGCCAGAUUUGUCUGGUUGUAACGCAAGUAGUUUCCACUCGCCACCUCCGAUCAGCAAUGCUGUGAAAUUCUCGAUCAAUGAGCAAUUUACAUGUUGAGAGCGGAAUGUGGAUUGUGGGUAAGUUACUAACAUUUGAUUGCGCAGCUCCCGCUCUUGCGAGCUCAUCAGCUUUGCAGUUACCUUCGAAUCCACUGUGACCCGGUAUCCAGAUAACUUGGACAGAAUUCUGAACACUUAUCUCGUUAAGAGAUAAGAGACAAGAUCGAACCACAUCUGAGUGGGUAAAAGAGAAGCUGAGUGCUCGAACGACCGCUUGACUGUCGGUGAAAAAGCGGAUAUCCUCUAGUGAUAUUCUAUUUUCUAAGAGAGUUUUCGCAGCAUACCAGAUAGCGCAUACUUCCGCUUGGAAUACGCUACAGUAGUCGGGUAAUCUAAAUGAUAGAUUGAUGUGAGGGGAAUUGGAAAAGAUUCCAAAUCCCACUUUGCCGUCUUGUUUUGAACCAUCUGUAUAUAUAAUCAGAGGGCCAUCGAUUUCGGUUAGAUUUGUCUUCCAUUCUUCCCUAGUUGGGAGUGAACAGGAGAAUAGCAAGGGUGGUGAUGGAAGACUUACAUGAUAGUCUAUGUCGGAAGAGAUAACAGUGUUCCUGUUCAGUAUGGCCGAAUGGCCAAGAUACUAAUUCCAUUUCGAUAUAGCAUUCAUGCGAGUCGCUGCUUUCGCUGCAAUCGCUUUGCCAGCCAGAUCGAUAGGGAACAAGUGAAGCAACGUGUUUAGAGCCUUAGUAGGUGUUGUACUUAAGCAUCCUGUUAUCUGGAGGCAGGCUGUUCUUUGAACUCGAUCAAUUGUGGCUACUCUACACCGUUUUUCGAGUGCUGUCCACCAUACAACCACACCGUAGAAGAGUAUCGGUUUGAUGAUCGAGGUAUAUAUCCAAUAAAUGAUCCGAGGUGAAAAACCCCAGGUUUUGCCUAUAGCUUUCUUACAAAUAUAAAGAGCUAUGAAAGCUUUUUUACAUCUGUUUUCGAUGUUCAAUUUCCAACUCAACUUCCUAUCUAGAAUAACUCCUAGAUAUUUAGCUGAAUCAGAUAGAAGUAAUGAUUCCCCUUUUAAGGUUAUUGUUUGCAGUGGAGGAGAUUGUUGUUUCCUAUUGAAGAGAACAAGAUCUGUCUUUGCUGGAUUCGCAUUUAGUCCGCAUUCGGUGAACCAUUUUGACAGAAUAUUGAUUGAGCGUUGCAUGAA
Molecule: long non-coding RNA, 1933 nt
Organism: Anastrepha ludens (Mexican fruit fly)
Lineage: Eukaryota; Metazoa; Arthropoda; Insecta; Diptera; Tephritidae
Exons: 2
Source: RefSeq, a predicted model, not a curated record